GACGAACGCUGGCGGCGUGCUUAACACAUGCAAGUCGAACGAUGAAGCCGGAGCUUGCUCUGGUGAAUUAGUGGCGAACGGGUGAGUAACACGUGAGUAACCUGCCCUUGACUCUGGGAUAACUGCUAGAAAUGGUAGCUAAUACCGGAUACGACCCUCGGAGGCAUCUCCAGGGGGUGGAAAGAAUUUCGGUCAAGGAUGGACUCGCGGCCUAUCAGCUAGUUGGUGAGGUAACGGCUCACCAAGGCGACGACGGGUAGCCGGACUGAGAGGUGGACCGGCCACACUGGGACUGAGACACGGCCCAGACUCCGACGGGAGGCAGCAGUGGGGAUUAUUGCACAGUGGGCGCAAGCCUGAUGCAGCAACGCCGCGUGAGGGAUGACGGCCUUCGGGUUGUAAACCUCUUUUAGUAGGGAAGAAGCGAAAGUGACGGUACCUGCAGAAAAAGCACCGGCUAACUACGUGCCAGCAGCCGCCGUAA
RNAcentral lists this ribosomal RNA (484 nucleotides) under uncultured bacterium. RNAcentral describes it as "partial 16S ribosomal RNA". It matches the Rfam family "Bacterial small subunit ribosomal RNA", at positions 28 to 523 of the family's 1533-position model. The record is from RNAcentral.